ACGUAGGGACCAAGCGUUGUUCGGAUUUACUGGGCGUAAAGGGCGCGUAGGCGGCGUGUCAAGUCAGCUGUGAAAUCUUGAGGCUUAACCUCAAGCGGUCAGCUGAUACUGAUGUGCUAGAGUGCAGAAGGGGCAAUCGGAAUUCUUGGUGUAGCGGUGAAAUGCGUAGAUAUCAAGAGGAACACCUGAGGUGAAGACGGGUUGCUGGGCUGACACUGACGCUGAUGCGCGAAAGCCAGGGGAGCAAACGGGA
RNAcentral lists this ribosomal RNA (253 nucleotides) under uncultured prokaryote. RNAcentral's name for it is "partial 16S ribosomal RNA". It matches the Rfam family "Bacterial small subunit ribosomal RNA", at positions 525 to 777 of the family's 1533-position model. The record is from RNAcentral.